AAUGAAUUUCUCAACACAAGGUAAUUGAACCCAGGUCAACUGCUUGAAAGGCAGCUAUGCUCACCAUUAUACCACUGUCAC
RNAcentral lists this transfer RNA (81 nucleotides) under Cordylochernes scorpioides. RNAcentral describes it as "tRNA-Glu". Lineage: Eukaryota; Metazoa; Arthropoda; Arachnida; Pseudoscorpiones; Chernetidae. The record is from RNAcentral.